UUGUCUGACCGGGUCGUGUAAGUAGUCGAGUAGCCUUGUUGUUACGAGCUACUGAGCGUAAGCCCGCGUCAGCUAGAUUUGU
RNAcentral lists this non-coding RNA (82 nucleotides) under Diaporthe ampelina. RNAcentral's name for it is "Eukaryotic large subunit ribosomal RNA". It matches the Rfam family "Eukaryotic large subunit ribosomal RNA", at positions 3320 to 3401 of the family's 3401-position model. The record is from Rfam by way of RNAcentral. Lineage: Eukaryota; Fungi; Ascomycota; Sordariomycetes; Diaporthales; Diaporthaceae.